AGAGUUUGAUCAUGGCUCAGGACGAACGCUGGCGGCGCGCUUAACACAUGCAAGUCGAGCGAGAACCAGGGCUUCGGCCCUGGGGACAGCGGCGAACGGGUGAGUAACACGUGAGCAAUCUGCCCUCGACACCGGGAUAGCCCGGGGAAACCCGGAUUAAUACUGGAUAGCCUUUCGAGCUCUCGGGCUCGUCAGAAAAGAUGGCUUCGGCUUUCGGUCGAGGAUGAGCUUGCGGCGGAUUAGCUUGUUGGUGGGGUAACGGCUCACCAAGGCGACAAUCCGUAGCUGGUCUGAGAGGACGAUCAGCCACACUGGGACUGAGACACGGCCCAGACUCCUACGGGAGGCAGCAGUGGGGAAUCUUGCGCAUGGGCGAAAGCCUGACGCAGCGACGCCGCGUGAGGGAAGAAGGCCUUCGGGUUGUAAACCUCUUUCAGGAGGGACGAAGCCACUCGGGCUAAUACCCCAGAGGGUGACGGUACCUCCAGAAGAAGCCCCGGCUAACUACGUGCCAGCAGCCGCGGUAAUACGUAGGGGGCAAGCGUUGUCCGGAAUCAUUGGGCGUAAAGAGCGUGUAGGCGGCCAGGUAGGUCUGCUGUGAAAACUCGAGGCUCAACUUCGAGAUGUCGGCGGAAACCAUCUGGCUAGAGUCCGGAAGAGGAGAGUAGAAUUCCUGGUGUAGCGGUGAAAUGCGCAGAUAUCAGGAGGAAUACCCGUGGCGAAAGCGGCUCUCUGGGACGGUACUGACGCUGAGACGCGAAAGCGUGGGGAGCAAACAGGAUUAGAUACCCCCGUAGUCC
Molecule: ribosomal RNA, 800 nt
Filed under: uncultured Conexibacter sp.
Lineage: Bacteria; Bacillati; Actinomycetota; Thermoleophilia; Solirubrobacterales; Conexibacteraceae
Description: bacterial SSU rRNA
Rfam family: Bacterial small subunit ribosomal RNA
Source: RNAcentral